GAUUGUAUCACUGAUACCGCUGUUGCGAAUUUUGCUGCCUUUCCUCUUCCAGCACCUAGCUCGUUCGCUACUCGCACUCCGGUGGCAGCGAAAAACGCAAGCGGUAUCAUCAUCUCCCAACCAUUAAUAUUCAUGCAGAUGGACAACGCAUCAAGGGCCAACGUCGCGUUCUCCAAAUAUCCUGUCAUCAACAUCAAUAUCCGAUAGUACCAGUUCUCCAAGCAAAGCAUAACACCAGCAGCAGCGGAAAGUCGAAAAAAUUCGCAAAGUCCCGAAAAUGCUUGUGCUGAGAAGCCAGUCCACGUUUCUGGGCACCCACCGGAUGCGGCGUACAUAAACAUUCCAACAACCAGCAACCACCACGAUAUGUCUAGUGCUACGGCGGCUCCCACUAACCCCAAAUUCAGUUUGUACACAAACAACCAACUGAUCACCGUGUGAAUCGCCAGCACCGCCAGUGAAAUCCAGGCGAUAACCACCGUCUUCAGCUGGCUCUGAAGGAACCUCUGUAUCGGAAAUUGAAAAGCAAAGCUGAAGUGUAGCGGAAUAAACCACAACGCCACUAUCCCUGAUAGCUCUGCGACGUCGUCUGGUUGACCUAGCGAUUUUAAAAUUGGGGUAGCGUAUAUGUACAUCGGAAGGAGAAGGAAACAACAGAGGGUUAAAACAAUCCAUGAUCUCUGCAUGUAUAUUCCUAACAUAUGGUGCUUUUUCGCUCCAUAAGCUUGCCCGCAUAACGUUUCUAAUGCACUCGCCAUCCCUAAAAGGAGACCAAAGUUGAGUCCAACAAUGACGGUAUUAGAAAUGGAGAUAGCAGCAAGUUGAACUUCACCAAGGUGACCAGCAAAACUUUGAGUGAUAAUAUUCAUGGUGUAAGAAGCUAUACGGCUGAAGAUGGCUGGACCGACGAUAUGCCAUAGUUUUUUGGUUUCAAUCCAUACUCUUGUUUUCAGAUCCUCAAUUUUAUUCUCCGCCAACAGUAAUGGUUGCUGGUUCUCGUCGAUAACGCUGCCCAUUUGUAACACUAGAACUAAA
RNAcentral lists this unclassified non-coding RNA (1035 nucleotides) under Hevea brasiliensis (rubber tree). The record is from RNAcentral. Lineage: Eukaryota; Viridiplantae; Streptophyta; Magnoliopsida; Malpighiales; Euphorbiaceae.